AGAGUUUGAUCCUGGCUCAGGACGAACGCUGGCGGCGUGCUUAAUACAUGCAAGUCGAGCGAGGUUACUGUUUUGGAUCCCUUCGGGGUGAAGAAGCUUUAACCUAGCGGCGGACGGGUGAGUAACGCGUGGGUAACCUACCCCAAAGUCCGGGAUAACAGCGGGAAACCGCUGCUAAUACCGGAUGCCUUUACCUUGGGGCAUCUUGAGGUAAAGAAAGGCAACGCUUUGGGAUGGGCCCGCGUCCCAUUAGCUAGUUGGUGAGGUAACGGCUCACCAAGGCGACGAUGGGUAGCCGGCCUGAGAGGGUGGACGGCCACACUGGGACUGAGACACGGCCCAGACUCCUACGGGAGGCAGCAGUAGGGAAUAUUGCGCAAUGGACGGAAGUCUGACGCAGCGACGCCGCGUGAGCGAUGAAGGUCUUCGGAUCGUAAAGCUCUGUCCUUGGGGAAGAAGGCGAAAGCUUGACGGUACCCAAGAAGAAAGCCCCGGCUAACUACGUGCCAGCAGCCGCGGUAAUACGUAGGGGGCGAGCGUUGUCCGGAAUUACUGGGCGUAAAGGGUGCGUAGGCGGCCCUUUAAGUCGGAUGUGAAAGCCCGCGGCUUAACCGCGGAAUGGCAUUCGAAACUGGAGGGCUUGAGUGUCGGAGAGGGUAGUGGAAUUCCCAGUGUAGCGGUGAAAUGCGUAGAUAUUGGGAGGAACACCAGUGGCGAAGGCGACUACCUGGACGAUAACUGACGCUGAGGCACGAAAGCUAGGGGAGCAAACAGGAUUAGAUACCCUGGUAGUCCUAGCCGUAAACGAUGGGUACUAGGUGUGGGUGGUUUCGAUACCAUCUGUGCCGUAGUUAACGCAUUAAGUACCCCGCCUGGGGAGUACGUGCGCAAGCAUGAAACUUAAAUGAAUUGACGG
RNAcentral lists this ribosomal RNA (916 nucleotides) under uncultured bacterium. RNAcentral describes it as "bacterial SSU rRNA". It matches the Rfam family "Bacterial small subunit ribosomal RNA", at positions 8 to 916 of the family's 1533-position model. The record is from RNAcentral.